UAAAAAGAUAACAGAGUUAAGAGAAGAAUAGAGACACACCCUACACAGUUUGUUAUUUUUUUUUUAAUAUGAACCGGUCAUGCUAUUAUUGAAAGGACCUGGAAACAAGCAAACAAACAUAGUGUCCUUCGCCAUUAAAUGCAGGUGCACAUGCCACGAAGCAAAACAACCCAACAAACAAAAGCAGAAUACAAAAGAAAACCAAAAAACAGAAAAGAAAAGCAGAAAACAAGCAGCUGAAACCCUGCAACAACCCCAGUUGCGCACGCAUGUCCAGUAAGGCCAAACCACCGUCAGAAACAGUUCGCGAUACACGAUCCAUGGUGAAGCUACAACAAAGCUUGCCAGUAAGAUAACCAAUCUGGUCGAAACAGAACUCGAAGAAUGCCCUCCAUCAGAAGCAGGCACAGCCCCGACGAUCUUUUUCCACCUACCCCAGCACAGACUCCGGCCCAUCCUCCAUCCAAAUAACAUCCCGUCAGGAAACUCUAACGAGCUAGCAGAUGGGCAACCAUAUUUCCUUUUGUUUUAUGUGUUGGAACUUGAAAUGCUCGAAACCCAAACUAGUCUCUUCGCAUCCCAAACAUAAGCUCCCACCAUCGACCAAUCAGUGGCCAGACUCCGAAGCCUGGAGAUAAGCACCGCCGAGUCUCCCUCAAUCUCAACCCAAUGAAAGCCAAGAUCUUGGGCAAAUCGAAUGGCCUGCACACACGCGAGAGCUUCUUUCUGUAAAAGACAUGGCAUGUGUUUUUCCCAAAAACAUGCCGAGCCUAAUAACAGACCUUCAGAAUUUCUAACAACUAUCCCUGUGCUGGCAGCCUACAGAUCGGUAAAAAAUCCUACGUUAAAGUUCACGCGAACCUAUGGGUCCGCAAGGGACAUCCAAAGUGACGAGUCAGCAGUCUUAGCAUCCUCUCGAGGAGCGAGAGGGAUUCUAGCUCACGCAUAAAACCCAGAAUAGAGAUAAGUAUCUUUCGAAUUCCGGUAUUAUGUGCCAAGAGUAACCCAAGCCGUGCCAAACUUCCUUAACCACAGGAUUGUCCCGACAGACGUGCAGAAUAGUCUCAGGCCCACUACCACAGCGUGGGCGCAUGCGGUCAGCCCCGAUUCUCCGACGAAACAGAUUAUCCUUUGUAGGGAGAAAAUUAUUUGUGUAUAUCCAACAUGUAAAUUUCAUUUUUUCGGGCACUUGAGCCCCUCCAAAGUUGUUUGUAAAGAUUUGUUGUCUGCCGCAUAACACCACUGUAUCGAUCAUCUUCCCCCCGAAAAAUCAUGCAAUAACAAUAUGUAACUGCUAUACGGAUAGAAUAA
Long non-coding RNA from Gossypium arboreum, 1311 nucleotides. RefSeq lists it as uncharacterized. The record is from RefSeq and is a predicted model, not a curated record. The transcript is spliced from 2 exons. NCBI's taxonomy places the organism in Eukaryota, Viridiplantae, Streptophyta, Magnoliopsida, Malvales, Malvaceae.